UUUGAAAUACUUGCACACAAACCGCGAGAAAGCGUUCCUGGAAAUCUCAGCCCAAAAAAGGAUGUUUAGUAAUUCUAAAAGGGACUACAGGAUGAAAAACAAUAGUUUUGGCAGUUAAAGUUUGAGAUUUGACGGUGUCGUAGAUCCGUUUGGUCAUCAGGUGUUACGAGCCACACCCAUGUCUAGCUAGAAUAGUGUGUUAGGCUCAGGCUAGAGAAGAAACGGGGAACAAACUGAUGAAAGAAUGAUCAAACCGAGGGGAUUCACUCAGAACUAACAAGAAUGAUAACGUGCUCCGACUAGAGCGGUUUAGGAACUUCUGGAAGGCUCUAGGGGAAUAAAGAUGGAAUGACUUCUAAUUUUUAGGUCCGUAUGAUUUGAAAUACUUUCACACAAACCGCGCGAAAGCGUUCCUGGAAAUCUCAGCCCCAAAAAGGACGUUUAGUAAUUCUAGAAGGGACUAUAGGAUGAAAAACAAUAGUUUUGGUAGUUAAAGUUUGAGAUUCGAUGGUGCCGUGGAUCCGUUUGGUCAUCAGGUGUUACGAGCCACACCCAUGUCUAGCUAGAAUAGUAUGUUAGGCUCAGGUUAGAGAAGAAACGGGGAACAAACUGAUGAAAAAAUGAUCAUACCAAGGGAAUUCACUCAGAACUAACAAGAAUGAUAACGUGCUCCGACUGGAGCGGUUUAGGAACUGCUGGAAGGCUCUAGGGGAAUAAAGAUGGAAUGACUUCUAAUUUUUACGUCCGUAUGAUUUGAAAUACUUGCACACAAACCACGCAAAAGCGUUCCUGGAAAUCUCAGCCUAAAAAAGGACGUUUAGUAAUUCUAAAAGGGACUACAGGAUGAAAAAUAAUAGUUUGGGCAGUUAAAAUUUGAGAUUCAACGGUGCCGUAGAUCCGUUUGGUCAUGAGGUGUUACGAGCCACACCCAUGUCUAGCUAGAAUAGUGUGUUAGGCUCAGGCUAGAGAAGAAACGGGGAACAAAUUGAUGAAAGAAUGAUCAUACCGAGGGAAUUCACUCAGAACUAACAAGAAUGAUAACGUGCUCCGACUGGAGCAGUUUGGAAACUGUUGGUAGGCUCUAGGGGAAUAAAGAUGGAAUCACUUCAAAUUUUUAGGUCCGUAUGAUUUGAAAUACUGGCACACAAACCGCGCGAAAGUGUUCCUGGAAAUCUCAGCCCAAAAAAGGACGUUUAGUAAUUCUAAAAGGGACUACAGGAUGAAAAACAAUACUUUUGGCAGUUAAAGUUUGAGAUUCGACGGUGCCGUAGAUCUGUUUGGUCAUCAGGUGUAACGAGCCACACCCAUGUCUAGCUAGAGUAGUGUGCUAGGCUCAGACUAGAGAAGAAACGGGGAACAAAGUGAUGAAAGAAUGAUCAUACCGAGGGAAUUCACUCAGAACUAACAAGAAUGAUAACGUGCUCCGACUGGAGCGGUUUAGGAACUGCUGGAAGGCUCUAGGGAAAUAAAGAUGGAAUGACUUCUAAUUUUUAGGUCCAUAUCAUUUGAAAUACGUGCACACAAACCCCGAGAAAGCGUUCCUGGAAAUCUCGGCCGAAAAAAGGAUGUUUAAUAAUUCUAAAAGGGACUACAGGAUGAAAAACAAUAGUUUUGGCAGUUAAAGUUUGAGAUUUGACGGUGCCGUAGAUCUGUUUGGUCAUCAGGGGUUACGAGCCACACCCAUGUCUAGCUAGAAUAGUGUGUUAGGCUCAGGCUAGAGAAGAAACGGGGAACAAAUUGAUGAAAGAAUGAUCAUACCGAGGGAAUUCACUCAGAACUAACAAGAAUGAUAACGUGCUCCGACUGGAGCAGUUUGGAAACUGUUGGUAGGCUCUAGGGGAAUAAAGAUGGAAUCACUUCUAAUUUUUAGGUCCGUAUGAUUUGAAAUACAUGCACACAAACCCCAAGAAAGCGUUCCUGGAAAUCUCGCCCCGAAAAACGACGUUUAGUAAUUCUAAAAGGGACUACAGGAUGAAAAACAAUACUUUUGGCAGUUAAAGUUUGAGAUUCGACGGUGCCGUAGAUCUGUUUGGUCAUCAGGUGUAACGAGCCACACCCAUGUCUAGCUAGAGUAGUGUGCUAGGCUCAGACUAGAGAAGAAACGGGGAACAAAGUGAUGAAAGAAUGAUCAUACCGAGGGAAUUCACUCAGAACUAACAAGAAUGAUAACAUGCUCCGACUGGAGCGGUUUAGGAAGUGCUGGAAGGCUCUAGGGAAAUAAAGAUGGAAUGACUUCUAAUUUUUAGGUCCAUAUCAUUUGAAAUACGUGCACACAAACCCCGAGAAAGCGUUCCUGGAAAUCUCGGCCGAAAAAAGGAUGUUUAAUAAUUCUAAAAGGGACUACAGGAUGAAAAACAAUAGUUUUGGCAGUUAAAGUUUGUGAUUCGAUGGUGCCGUAGAUCUGUUUGGUCAUCAGGUGUUACGAGCCACACCCAUGUCUAGCUAGAACAGUGUGUUAGGCUCAGGCUAGAGCAGAAACGGGGAACAAACUUAUGAAAGAAUGAUCAUACCGAGGGAAUUCACUCAGAACUAACAAGAAUGAUAACGUGCUCCAACUGGAGCGGUUUAGGAACUGCUGGAAGGCUCUAGGGGAAUAAAGAUGGAAUGACUUCAAAUUUUUAGGUCCGUAUGAUUUGAAAUACUUGCACACAAACCGCUAGAAAGCGUUCCUGGAAAUCUCAGCCCAAAAAAGGACGUUUAGUAAUUCUAAAAGGGACUACAGGAUGAAAAACAAUAGUUCUGGCAGUUAAAGUUUGAGCUUCGAUAAUGUCGUAGAUCCGUUUGGUCAUCAGGUGUAACGAGCCACACCCAUUUCUAGCUAGAGUAGUGUGCUAGGCUCAGACUAGAGAAGAAAUGGGCAACAAACUAAUGAAAGAAUGAUCAUACCGAGGGAAUUCACUCAGAACUAACAAGAAUGAUAACGUGCUCCGACUGGAGCGGUUUAGGAACUGCUGGAAGGCUCUAGGGGAAUAAAGAAGGAAUGACUUCUAAUUUUUAGGUCCGUAUGAUUUGAAAUGUGUGCACACAAACCCCGAGAAAGCAUUCCUGGAAAUCUCGGCCCAAAAAAGGACGUUUAGUAAUUCUAAAAGGGACUACAGGAUGAAAAACAAUAGUUUUGGCAGUUAAAGUUUGAGAUUCGAUAAUGCCGUAGAUCCGUUUGGUCAUCAGGUGUAACGAGCCACACCCAUGUCUGGUUAGAGUAGUGUGCUAGGCUCAGACUAGAUAAGAAACGGGGAACAAACUGAUGAAAGAAUGAUCAUACCGAGCGAAUUCACUCAGAACUAACAAGAAUGAUAACAUGCUCCGACUGGAGCGGUUUAGGAACUGCUGGAAGGCUCUAGGGGAAUAAAGAUGGAAUGACUUCUAAUUUUUAGGUCCGUAUGAUUUGAAAUACUUGCACACAAACCACGCGAAAGCGUUCCUGGAAAUCUCAGCCCAAAAAAGGACGUUUAGUAAUUCUAAAAGGGACUACAGGAUGAAAAACAAUAGUUUUGGCAGUUAAAGUUUGAGAUUCGACAGUGCCGUAGAUCCGUUUGGUCAUCAGGUAUUACGAGCCACACCCAUGUCUAGCUAGAAUAGUGUGCUAGGCUCAGGCUAGAGAAGAAACGGGGAACAAACUGAUGAAAGAAUGAUCAAACCGAGGGAAUUCACUCAGAACUAACAAUAAUGAUAACGUGCUCCGACUGGUGCGGUUUAGGAACUGCUGGAAGGCUCUAGGGGAAUAAAGAUGGAAUGACUUCUAAUUUUUAGGUCCGUAUGAUUUGAAAUACUUGCACACAAACCGCGCGAAAGCGUUCCUGGAAAUCUCAGCCCAAAAAAGGACGUUUAGUAAUUUUAAAAGGGACUAUAGGAUGAAAAACAAUAGUUUUGGCAAUUAAAGUUUGAGAUUCGACGGUGUCGUAGAUCCGUUUGGUCAUCAGGUGUUACGAGCCACACCCAUGUCUAGCUAGAAUAGUAUGUCAGGCUCAGGUUAGAGUAGAAACGGGGAACAAACUGAUGAAAGAAUGAUCAUACCAAGGGAAUUCACUCAGAACUAUCAAGAAUGAUAACGUGCUCCGACUGGAGUGAUUUAGGAACUGCUGGAAGGCUCUAGGGGAAUAAAGAUGGAAUGACUUCUAAUUUUUACGUCCGUAUGAUUUGAAAUACUUGCACACAAAUCACGCAAAAGCGUUCCUGGAAAUCUCAGCCUAAAAAAGGACGUUUAGUAAUUCUAAAAGGGACUACAGGAUGAAAAACAAUAGUUUGGGCAGUUAAAAUUUGAGAUUCGACGGUGCCGUAGAUCCGUUUGGUCAUCAGGUGUUACGAGCGACACCCUUGUCUAGCUAGAAUAGUGUGUUAGGCUCAGACUAGAGAAGAAACGGGGAACAAAGUGAUGAAAGAAUGAUCAUACCGAGGGAAUUCACUCAGAACUAACAAGAAUGAUAACGUGCUCCGACUGGAGCGGUUUAGUAACUGCUGGAAGGCUCUAGGGGAAUGAAGAUGGAAUGACUUCUAAUUUUUAGGUCCGUAUGAUUUGAAAUACAUGCACACAAACCCUGAGAAAGCGUUCCUGGAAAUCUCGGUCGAAAAAAGGAUGUUUAAUAAUUCUAAAAGGGACUACCGGAUGAAAAACAAUAGUUUUGGCAGUUAAAGUUUGUGAUUCGAUGGUGCCGUAGAUCUGUUUGGUCAUCAGGUGUUACGAGCCACACCCAUGUCUAUCUAGAAUAGUGUGUUAGGCUCAGGCUAGAGCAGAAACGGGGAACAGACUUAUGAAAGAAUGAUCAUACCGAGGGAAUUCACUCAGAACUAACAAGAAUGAUAACGUGCUCCGACUGGCGCGGUUUAGGAACUGCUGGAAGGCUCUAGGGGAAUAAAGAUGGAAAGACUUCUAAUUUUUAGGUCCGUAUGAUUUGAAAUACUUGCACACAAACCGCACGAAAGCGUUCCUGGAAAUCUCAGCCUAAAAAGGAUGUUUAGUAAUUCUAAAAGGGACUACAAGAUGAAAAAUAAUAGUUUGGGCAGUUAAAAUUUGAGAUUCGACGAUGCCGUAGAUCCGUUUGGUCAUCAGGUGUUAUGAGCCACACCCAUGUCUAGCUAGAAUAGUGUGUUAGGCUCAGGCUAGAGAAGAAACGGGGAACAAACUGAUGAAAGAAUGAUCAUACCGAGGGAAUUCACUCAGAACUAACAAGAAUGAUAACGUGCUCCGACUGGAGCAGUUUAGAAACUGCUGGAAGGCUCUAAUGGAAUAAAGAUGGAAUGCCUUCAAAUUUCUAGGUCCGUAUGAUUUGAAAUACUUGCACACAAACCGCUCGAAAGCGUUCCUGGAAAUCUCAGCCCAAAAAAGGACGUUUAGUAAUUCUAAAAGGGACUACAGGAUGAAAAACAAUAGUUUUGGCAGUUAAAGUUUGAGAUUCGAUGGUGCCGUAGAUCCGUUUGGUCAUCAGGUGUAACGAGCCACACACAUGUCUAGCUAGAGUAGUGUGCUAGGCUCAGACUAGAGAAGAAACGGGGAACAAAGUGAUGAAAGAAUGAUCAUACCGAGGGAAUUCACUCAGAACUUACAAGAAUGAUAACGUGCUCCGACUGGAGCGCUUUAGUAACUGCUGGAAGGCUCUAGGCGAAUAAAGAUGGAAUGACUUCUAAUUUUUAGGUCCGUAUGAUUUGAAAUACUUGCACACAAACCACGCAAAACCGUUCCUAGAAAUCUCGGUCGAAAAAAGGACGUUUAGUAAUUCUAAAAGGGACUACAGGAUGAAAAACAAUAGUUUUGGCAGUUAAAGUUUGAGAUUCGAUGGUGCCGUAGAUCCGUUUGGUCAUCAGGUGUUACGAGCCACACCCAUGUCUAGCUAGAGUAGUGUGCUAGGUUCAGACUAGAGAAGAAACGGGGAACAAAGUGAUUAAAGAAUGAUCAUACCGAGGGAAUUCACUCAGAACUAACAAGAAUGAUAACGUGCUCCGACUGGAGCGGUUUAGGAACUGCUGGAAGGCUCUAGGGGAAUAAAGAUGGAAUGACUUCUAAUUUUUACGUCCGUAUGAUUUGAAAUACAUGCACACAAACCACGCAAAAGCGUUCCUGGAAAUCUCAGCCUAAAAAAGGACGUUUAGUAAUUCUAAAAGGGACUACAGGAUGAAAAAUAAUAGUUUGGGCAGUUAAAAUUUGAGAUUCGACGCUGCCGUAGAUCCGUUUGGUCAUCAGGUCUUACGAGCCACACCCAUGUCUAGCUAGAAUAGUGUGUUAGGCUCAGGCUAGAGAAGAAACGGGGAACAAACUGAUGAAAGAAUGAUCAUACCGAGGGAAUUCACUCAGAACUAACAAGAAUGAUAACGUGCUCCGACUGGAGCAGUUUAGAAACUCCUGGAAGGCUCUAGGGGAAUAAAGAUGGAAUGACUUCAAAGUUUUAGGUCCGUAUGAUUUGAAAUACUUGCACACAAACCGCGUGAAAGCGUUCCUGGAAAUCUCAACCCAAAAAAGGGCGUUUAGUAAUUCUAAAAGGGACUACAGGAUGUAAAACAAUAGUUUUGGCAGUUAAAGUUUGAGAUUCGAUGGUGCCGUAGAUCCGUUUGGUCAUCAGGUGUAACGAGCCACACCCAUGUCUAGCUAGAGUAGUGUGCUAGGCUCAGACUAGAGAAGAAACGGGGAACAAAGUGAUGAAAGAAUGAUCAUACCGAGGGAAUUCACUCAUAACUAACAAGAAUGAUAACGUGCUCUGACUUGAGCGGUUUAGGAACUGCUGGAAGGCUAUAGGGGAAUAAAGAUGGAAUGACUUCAAAUUUUUAGGUCCGUAUGAUCUGAAAUACUUGCACACAAACCGCGAGAAAGCGUUCCUGGAAAUCUCAACCCAAAAAAGGACGUUUAGUAAUUCUAAAAGGGACUACAGGAUGAAAAACAAUAGUUCUGGCAGUUAUUGUUUGAGAUUCGAUAAUCUCGUAGAUCCGUUUGGUCAUCAGGUGUAACGAGCCACACCCAUGUCUAGCUAGAGUAGUGUGCUAGGCUCAGACUAGAGAAGAAACGGGGAACAAACUGAUGAAAGAAUGAUCAUACCGAGGGAAUUCACUUAGAACUAACAAGAAUGAUAACGUGCUCCGACUGGAGCGGUUUAGGAACUGCUGGAAGGCUCUAGGGGAAUAAAGAAGGAACGACUUCUAAUUUUUAGGUCCGUAUGAUUUGAAAUAUGUGCACACAAACCACGAGAAAGCGUUCCUAGAAAUCUCGGCCCAAAAGAGGACGUUUAGUAUUCUAAAAGGGACUACAGAAUGAAAAACAAUAGUUUUGGCAGUUAAAGUUUGAGAUUUGACGGUGCCGUAGAUCUGUUUGGUCAUCAGGGGUUACGAGCCACACCCAUGUCUAGCUAGAAUAGUGUGUUAGGCUCAGGCUAGAAAAGAAACGGGGAACAAAGUGAUGAAAGAAUGAUCAUACCGAGGGAAUUCACUCAGAACUAACAAGAAUGAUAACAUGCUCCGACUGGAGCGGUUUAGGAACUGCUGGAAGGCUCUAGGGGAAUAAAGAUGGAAUGACUUCUAAUUUUUAGGUCCGUAUGAUUUGAAAUACUUGCACACAAACCGCGCGAAAGCGUUCCUGGAAAUCUCAGCCCAAAAAAGGACGUUUAGUAAUUCUAAAAGGGACUACAGGAUGAAAAACAAUAGUUUUGGCAGUUAAAGUAUGAGAUUCAACGGUGCCGUAGAUCCGUUUGGUCAUUAGGUGUUACGAGCCACACCCAUGUCUAGCUAGAAUAGUGUGCUAGGCUCAGGCUAGAGAAGAAACGGGGAACAAACUGAUGAAAGAAUGAUCAAACCGAGGGAAUUCACUCAGAACUAACAAUAAUGAUAACGUGCUCCGACUGGAGCGGUUUAGGAACUGCUGGAAGUCUCUAGGGGAAUAAAGAUGGAAUGACUUCUAAUUUUUACGUUCGUAUGAUUUGAAAAACUUGCCCAUAAACCGCGCGAAAGUGUUCCUGGAAAUCUCAGCCCAAAAAAGGACGUUUAGUAAUUUUAAAAGGGACUACACGAUGAAAAACAAUAGUUUUGGCAGGUAAAGUUUGAGAUUCGACAGUGCCGUAGAUCCGUUUGGUCAUCAGGUGUUACGAGCCACACCCAUGUCUAGCUAGAAUAGUAUGUUACGCUCAGGUUAGAGAAGAAACGGGGAACAAACUGAUGAAAGAUGAUCAUACCAAGGGAAUUCACUCAGAACUAACAAGAAUGAUAACGUGCUCCGACUGGAGCGGUUUAGGAACUGCUGGAAGGCUCUAGGGGAAUAAAGAUGGAAUGACUUCUAAUUUUUACGUCUGUAUGAUUUGAAAUACUUGCACACAAACAACGCAAAAGCAUUCCUGGAAAUCUCAUCCUAAAAAAGGACGUUUAGUAAUUCUAAAAGGGACUACAGGAUGAAAAAUAAUAGUUUGGGAAGUUAAAAUUUGAGAUUCGAUAGUGCCGUAGAUCCGUUUGGUCAUCAGGUGUUAGGAGCCACACCCAUGUCUAGCUAGAAUAGUGUGUUAGGCUCAGGCUAGAGAAGAAACAGGGAACAAACUGAUGAAA
RNAcentral lists this long non-coding RNA (8511 nucleotides) under Triticum aestivum (bread wheat). RNAcentral describes it as "long non-coding RNA (TAES_LNC019907)". Lineage: Eukaryota; Viridiplantae; Streptophyta; Magnoliopsida; Poales; Poaceae. The record is from RNAcentral.